RNAcentral lists this ribosomal RNA (680 nucleotides) under Clostridioides difficile. Its description in RNAcentral is "bacterial LSU rRNA". It matches the Rfam family "Bacterial large subunit ribosomal RNA", at positions 683 to 1371 of the family's 2925-position model. The record is from RNAcentral. Lineage: Bacteria; Bacillati; Bacillota; Clostridia; Peptostreptococcales; Peptostreptococcaceae.
UUUAACUGAGCGUUCAGUUACUUGACGUAGACCCGAAACCGGGCGACCUACCCAUGAGCAGGAUGAAGCGAAAGUAAAAUUUCGUGGAGGUCCGAACCCACGAGCGUUGAAAAGCUCGGGGAUGACUUGUGGGUAGCGGUGAAAUUCCAAUCGAGCCCGGAGAUAGCUGGUUCUCCCCGAAAUAGCUUUAGGGCUAGCCUCAAGGUGAGAGAUACGGAGGUAGAGCACUGAAUGUCCUAGGGGGUAUUGCACCUACCGAAGACUAUCAAACUCCGAAUGCCGUCAUCUUAUACUUGGGAGUCAGACUGUGGGUGAUAAGAUUCAUAGUCGAAAGGGCAACAGCCCAGAUCGUCAGCUAAGGUCCCUAAAUGUAAGUUAAGUGGUAAAGGAUGUGGGAUUGCACAGACAACCAGGAUGUUGGCUUAGAAGCAGCCACUCAUUCAAAGAGUGCGUAAUAGCUCACUGGUCGAGUGAUCCUGCGCCGAAGAUUUCCGGGGCUAAAACUUACUACCGAAGCUACGGCAUCAGUAAUGAUGGGUAGGGGAGCUUCCCAUACGGGUUGAAGCAUGACCGUAAGGACAUGGGGACAGUAUGGGAGUGAGAAUGUUGGCAUGAGUAGCGAGAUGUGGGUGGGAAUCCCACAGGCCGUAAACCCAAGGUUUCCAGGGGAAGGUUCGUCC